Molecule: long non-coding RNA, 2102 nt
Organism: Paramormyrops kingsleyae
Lineage: Eukaryota; Metazoa; Chordata; Actinopteri; Osteoglossiformes; Mormyridae
Source: RefSeq, a predicted model, not a curated record
AGUAGCCUGUAAAUUAACUACCUAAGCAGAAAGAACUAGAUCAAGCUCCAGGCCUGUGGCUUUUCAGCCAGAAAACCUCAAAGGCACAAGGACAAACCAGGACAUGAAAUUAACCCAAUGGUGCUUUAGUUGGAAUGACAUGUAUAGAUGUAAUUUAUUGCAACAAAAAUGAAAAGUUCCCUAAAAUAAUAAAAAAAAAAAAAAAAAUGUGGAAAGUUUUUCUGAUGCUUCAGGAUUCUCUGAAUGGGUUUAGAUGCAGUGGCUGCGUGCAUUUGAAUAAUACGCAGCCUCAUUGAUGCCUGAGGCUUGUCCAUGAGGAUAUACUCCGUCUCAGAAUGACUGUCAGUGUAAAACUGGCUCUCCUAUAAAUAACGCAGUAAGAGGGAACAUGGGGAACAGCUCCGCUAUAGGGCUUUGCAGGCUAUGAGGAGGUGGGAGGGCCUCACAUGAAACUGGCAGGUCAGGCGAUGCAUAAUCAAGGAGCAACUUACUAAACUUACUAAUAAAUAGUACACAGGAGUGUUUUGAAACUAAACUGACCAUUCUUUCCAACAAGACAGGAGACUAACUCGGAAGCUGGGGAACUGAAUUCUGAUGCACAUUGUUUAAUUCCUUUUCCCAGGCUAACAUUUUCGCUACUUCAUUCCCCGUAUCAGCCAGUGGGAGGCCCUGGUUAGCUUCUUCCCUCUGUCCCUCCUCCCACCUCUGCUGCCCCACAAAGCAGCACAGUACUCUUUCGCUUUCAUUUUCAGAAGAACCAGAGCCCAGACACGAGUGAAGCAAUCUGCUCCCAGCAGCGGAAAAUCAAUCAGGGAAGAAGGUGCCGGUGCUCAAGAACAAAGUUCAUUUUUCCAGUUAGCACAUACUGGAAAUCGGUGUUACAAAGGGUACAGAUAAGUACAGUUUCAGGUUAAACUAGCGAACAAAACUGAAAGUGGUGACGUGUCCGAAACACGGAAAUGGAUCUACAACAGCGGGUUAAAUGGCACAAUAACCAAUAUACUUCCGAUCUUCAAUCUUAUCACCAUGAGAGACACCAGAGAGCUGUCUAAGGAUGUCAGAGACAAGAUUGUUGACCUUGACAAUAGUGGAAUGGGCUACAUGACCAUCAGCAAGCAGCUUGGUGAGAAAGUGACAACUGUUGGUAGAAUUAUUUGCAAAUGGAAGAAAGACAGAAUAACUAUCAAUCACCCUGGAUCUCAGGCCCCAAGGAAGAUUUCAUCUUGUGCGGCAUCAAUGAUCUUAAGAACACUGAGGGCUAACCCAAGAACUACAAAGGAGAAGCUCGUUAAUGAUCUCAAAGCAGCAGGGCUCUUGGUUGCCAAGAAAACCAUUGGUAACACAGUAUGCAGUUAUAGUUGAAAACCUGCAGUACUUAAAAAGUACCCCUGUUCAUGAGGGCUCAUGUUCAGACCCAUCUAAAGUAUACCAGUGAACACUGGAAUAAUUCCAAUGAGGCUUGGAAGAAUGUGAUAUGGCCAGAUGAGACCAAAAUCGAGCUGUUUGGCAUCAGCUCUACUCGCUGUGUUUAGAGGGAAAGGAAUGCUGACUGUAACCCCAGGAACACCAUCCCUACUGGAUGGGGCCAUGUAGCGUAAAAUCUUGGAAGAGAACCUCCUUCCUUCAGCCAGGGCACUGAAAAUGCAUUGUGGGUGGGUCUUGGUCUUCCAGCAAGACAACAACCCUAAGCUGCUUCAAGAAGAAGCUGAUUAAGGUCAUGGAGUGCCCUAGCCAGUCUCCGGACCUUAAUCCCAUAGAAAACCUAUGGUGGGAACUCAAGCUUCAUGUAUCCAAGUGACAGCCUAAAAACCUUAAAGAUUUGUAGGAGAUCUGCAAAGAGGAGUGGAUGAAAAUUCAUGCUGAGCUGUGUGAAAACCUGGUGACCAACUACAAGAAACAUCUGACAGUUGUGCUUGCCAACAAUAGUUACUCCACCAAGUACUAAAGCAUGUAUUCCAAAUUGGUUUGUAACUGUUGCAUAAUGAUUUUUCUGGCUUGCUUUGUUGAUCUAUCUAUCUUUUGCUGUUAAAAUAAACCUAACAGUGAAGUUAUAGACUUCUCAUUUCUUUAUUAAUGGGUCAAUUUAAUAAUUCAGCUGGGGG